Molecule: ribosomal RNA, 467 nt
Filed under: uncultured bacterium
Lineage: Bacteria
Description: partial 16S ribosomal RNA
Rfam family: Bacterial small subunit ribosomal RNA
Source: RNAcentral
GACGAACGCUGGCGGCGUGCUUAACACAUGCAAGUCGAACGGAAAGGCCCUGCUUUUGUGGGGUGCUCGAGUGGCGAACGGGUGAGUAACACGUGAGUAACCUGCCCUUGACUUUGGGUAACUUCAGGAAACUGGGGCUAAUACCGGCUAGGAGCUCCUGCUGCCUGGUGGGGGUUGGAAAGUUUCGGCGGUUGGGGAUGGACUCGCGGCUUAUCAGCUUGCUGGUGGGGUAGUGGCUUACCAAGGCUUUGCCGGGUAGCCGGCCUGAGAGGGUGACCGGCGACAUUGGGACUGAGAUACGGCCCAGACUCCUACGGGAGGCAGCAGUGGGGAAUAUUGCACAAUGGGCGGAAGCCUGAUGCAGCAACGCCGCGUGCGGGAUGACGGCCUUCGGGUUGUAAACCGCUUUCGCCUGUGACGAAGCGUGAGUGACGGUAAUGGGUAAAGAAGCACCGGCUAACUACGUG